This 372-nucleotide ribosomal RNA is filed under the name uncultured organism. RNAcentral describes it as "bacterial SSU rRNA". It matches the Rfam family "Bacterial small subunit ribosomal RNA", at positions 526 to 896 of the family's 1533-position model. The record is from RNAcentral.
CGUAGGUGGCAAGCGUUGUCCGGAAUUAUUGGGCGUAAAGCGCGCGCAGGCGGUUCCUUAAGUCUGAUGUGAAAGCCCCCGGCUCAACCGGGGAAGGUCAUUGGAAACUGGGGAACUUGAGUGCAGAAGAGAAGAGCGGAAUUCCACGUGUAGCGGUGAAAUGCGUAGAGAUGUGGAGGAACACCAGUGGCGAAGGCGGCUCUUUGGUCUGUAACUGACGCUGGGGCGCGAAAGCGUGGGGAGCAAACAGGAUUAGAUACCCUGGUAGUCCACGCCAUAAACGAUGAGUGCUAAGUGUUAGAGGGUUUCCGCCCUUUAGUGCUGCAGCUAACGCAUUAAGCACUCCGCCUGGGGAGUACGGCCGCAAGGCUG